Lagenorhynchus albirostris (white-beaked dolphin) is the source of this 525-nucleotide long non-coding RNA. RefSeq lists it as uncharacterized. Lineage: Eukaryota; Metazoa; Chordata; Mammalia; Artiodactyla; Delphinidae. The transcript has 3 exons. The record is from RefSeq and is a predicted model, not a curated record.
UGCCGGCAUGGCUGCUUGGCCAGCCCUCAGGGUGUUAGGGAGGAAGACAGCAGAAACCCAGGGACAGCCAUGGUGGGGACGGAGCAAUCUAACCCCCGAGGCGCGGGGAGCAGAUGAAGGAAAGGAUGCUCUGGGAGGCACACCAGAGCAGAGGCGAGCUCCCACCAGUUUCUAUGUGAGGAUGCACAUUUGGCCUCCAGAAGCGCCUGAGUAUCUGCCCCGGCAGCCCGACUGGAAUGUCAGCCCUUCACACGUAGAAGGAUAAUGAACAUAUUCUGGAAUUACACAGUGGCUAUGGUUGUACAACUUUUUUUGCGAUGACCUCAAUAAAGAUCACCUAUCAACCACUGUAUCUGAAAAUGAGACAUCUGUAUAUUCACCAUGUGCUCUGGUCACCUAAGACUUUUGUGUAAAAUUAGUGAUAUUUCCAUCUUGAGAGUUAGCUUCAAUUUGCUCUCCUAUUAAAUGCUAUUGUAACAUGUAACAUCUAAAAUAUAACAUAGAGCUGGAUGUGUAUUAAGUGCU